Molecule: unclassified non-coding RNA, 236 nt
Filed under: Hevea brasiliensis (rubber tree)
Lineage: Eukaryota; Viridiplantae; Streptophyta; Magnoliopsida; Malpighiales; Euphorbiaceae
Source: RNAcentral
GUUGGGAACAGGAUGCAAUAACUGAUUGUGAAAGAACUUUAUAUAGCUUAAAUAACACAAAGGAAAACAGAGAAUGAAUUCUGCAAAUCAAACUAUAUUACUCUAUUCAAUAAGGUUGCAUUUGAAGAACAUUACGAUCGGGGAAUUUGCAGCGUACAGUAGUAGGUUCUGGGUCGGCUCUAUCUGAUCUGAUGCAAUCAAGGUUGCUGCUGUGCAUCCAUAUAGCCAGCGUCAAC